This is an RNA transcript of Helicoverpa armigera (cotton bollworm), 3376 nucleotides long. RefSeq lists it as uncharacterized. The record is from RefSeq and is a predicted model, not a curated record. NCBI's taxonomy places the organism in Eukaryota, Metazoa, Arthropoda, Insecta, Lepidoptera, Noctuidae. The transcript has 2 exons.
ACAUAAUUAUGGCAAAAUGCAUACUUUUACCAUAUCUGUAUACCUAAAUAAUAUAAUACAGGUACCUUCCUUCUACUAGGUCUUUAAGAUUAUAAUUAUCACACUAAUAUUUUAGAUAAUUUUGGAUGUGUCUGUCUAUGUUUGUUACUUACUUCUUCGUGCACAAACGAACAGAUUUUGAUGAAACAGACUUGGACCAUUUUUUUUUAUUUUUUCAUGAAAUUCCCGAGUGCGCCUCGUACUAGAAAAAAAGAAAAUAUGUAUUUACCAGUCCGCGCCACUUGAGGUAACUUAUUUUUGUGCGAUCGUAUCCGCAUAGUAAAAGUAGGUAUAUUGGCAUUGCUGUCUCAACUCAAUUUUUUUAUUUCCUCGUUAAGGUACAAUUUACAAGUGUAAGUAAUAAUGUUAUGGUACACCUUGACCUUAACUACAGAUAAAGUUACUGCGUCCUUAACGGUUUAUGUGAGCGGUCAUUGCCCGCUAGCGCGCAGCGCUGGGCGCGGACGGCGAUAGCACAGUUGAAAUGUUGAUUGUAGUAUCAGCGAGCGUCGCCCCAUGACAGGCCCCUCCCCGUCAGAGCAGCACGUGAAACAACUGCCAAAGUGCCAACGACCGCGAGGCGCGGCGCGAAAUGCGCUGGCCGCCAUUUCAAGCGCGAAAGGUGAGGAGGGAGCCCCCGCCCCCCGCACCUCACCCCGCUCAUGCUGCCCGCCCGGCCACACACACGACAGAAGCGCGCCGCGCUGUAAUUCGUGUUCUGUGAGUCAAUGACGUCAUGAUUUGAUAUUAUUCUCCAAGUUACCAAUUUCUCUACUCACAUUCCUAAAGUAAUUAUUAGUUUGAAUAGAAAUGUGUGAAAAUAACCAAGAAACAAUGGAUACUUUGAAUACGGACUCGAUGGACGAUAUCAACGAUGGACCAAGCACAAGCUUCGUUACGAUGGAACCAGAAUUCAACAUAGCUGAAAGUAAGCGUUUUCCAAUAGUUUAUACAACGAAACUAGACGACAUGCUGAUAUUCAGAACAGAAUUACCUGAAAUGCAUAUAUCCGACAUCGUAGACUGUAUAAUCACAGAAAGUCAUCCUAAACAUCACGGCCAACUGAAAAGAAAAUAUUCAGAAACCCAAAAAAUGACGUUCGAAGAUUUAUCGCAUAAAAUAGAUAAAAUGAAUAGUAAAGUGGCCCGAACAGCUAAUCGUAAUAAAACGCUACUCUCUAUGUGCAAACCAUUUAACAUUGUCCUGGCAGAUUUUUCCUAUGCGCUACGUACGGACGAACUGACACGUGAUCGAAGGAAAAAUAUUAUAAUUCCUAAAAGAAAAUCAGUUCCUAAAUGCGUGGAUAAAUUGUUGCCAAUGUAUAGCAAAUCACAGACGUUUAAAUGUGGGUUAUUAUAUGAUCAACAACGACAAGUAGCUGACAUAUAUUCUCUAGACAAAAAGUUUUCCACGAAGGAAUAUAUAAGAAUUCAUAACAUCGAACAAAAUGAUGAGGAUUAUCAUAGGUUGAAAACGUGUAAAAACAUAAAUGAAGUGACAUGUUGCUGUUGGUAUAACAGAGAAGCAUUUAUAAAAAAGUUAUCUCUCCAUCCCCUUGAAACAUUAAGGUUCAUGAGGAAACCACAUGAGUGUCUAAUUAAUGAUUGCAGUUGUUGCUGCAAAAACAAUAACUACCCACCGAAAAGGUCAUCAUACAAAGGAACUAGUUCACAGAAAACAGAAAUAACUGCUAGCGUUUGGUUUACACAUACUAGAUUAAAUACUGUAAAAAUGAUUGAUUCUGAUGCACGAGGACCGAAACUUAUUGCAAAAUCUUUGAAUUUCGAUCCAAAACAAUCAAUGAAAUACCCCAGAUCGAAUCAUUACCAAUACAAAACCAACAAUAUAAAAAUGGCGCAUUCAAUAAACAUAUAUAUAGGAGAAGAAUAUUAUGAAAUUGGAAAAGAUGGUCAAUUAAGGACACAUUUAAAACAUUUUGAUAAAGAAGCAUCUAAACUAAAACAGAUUACUGGUAAUGAGCUAACAUAUACCUCGAGUAACGUUUGUUGUUGGUACAAACGCGAAGAGUUUGCAGCUCAAUUACUAAAGCUCGGAGUAAAACGCACCUCUGUUAAUUUUAUAAGAUGUGUCCACUCAUGUCCUGUAAGAAAAUGUAACUGCUGCUGUAAACCUUUGAUUCAACGGAAAGUCGAUCUUAACUCUUGGCGGAUUACAACUAGACAUACGAAUGAUUUGGCAAGUAAAGAAGUCGGCAUCCAAAUACAAUUUCCAAUAGCAAGGAGGCGUAAUCAAGUUAGCAAGACGACUAUUUCCGAUAGAAAUCUCGUUGCACCUAUGUUACGUUGUGUUGUACCUGUGCGAGUAGAUUUACAAAGUUUGAAAGUUCCCAAACUUGACUCGUCUUUUUUCGUUUCCUUAUCAACGUUAGACACUGUAGAGAAAACUAGAAUGGCGGCUGAAGAUAGCUCGCUACUUCCAGCUACUAAAACAAUUGAUUCUGAAAAUGAAUUAUUUCCAACUGUACGGGUUACGAUAACCAAAAUAGCAACUCAACAAAACAGGUAUAAAACAAUAAUCGAAGGAGUCGAUUUAAAUAUGGCAUCCACAAGGGAAUUACAAAUGUUGGAUUUGAUUUUUCGAGCAGUAGACAGCAGUCUAAUCACGGUUAACAGUUUUAAAAAGGAGCAAGCACGAAAACAAAAUCAAAAAGUAACACAAACCAUAAAAGAACCACGAAGCCAACAAAAACCACCAAUAAAACAACAACCACCAAUACAACAAAUACCACUAAUCCAAGAAAAACCACCAAUCCGACAGAAACCACGAAUCCUACGAAAACAACCAAUCCAGCAAAAACCACCAAUACAACAAUCACCGCCAAUCCAACAAAUUCCACCAAUCCUAGAAACACCACCAAUCCGACAAAAACCACGAAUUCUACAAAAACCACGAAUCCAACAAAAACCAUCAACCCAACAAAAACCACCAAUACAACUAAUUUCACCAAUACAAAAAAUUCCACCAAACCGACAAAUACCACCAAUCCUAGAAACACCAACAAUACAACAAAAACCACCAAUACAAGAAAAAUCACGAAUCCAACAAAUUCCACCAAUACAACAUGAACCACCAAUUCAAGAAAUACCACCACCAAUCCAAGAAAUACCACCAAUACAACAAAAACCACGAAUCCAACAAAACCGACCAAACCGACAGAAACCACCAAACCGACAGAAACCACCAAACCGACAAAAACGACCAAUACAACAAAUUCCACCAACACAACAAAUUCCACCAAUACAACAGAAACCACCAAUACAACAAAUACCACCAAACCGAACACCACUAAUGCUACAAAUAUCACCAAUGCUACAAA